This 499-nucleotide ribosomal RNA is filed under the name uncultured bacterium. RNAcentral describes it as "partial 16S ribosomal RNA". It matches the Rfam family "Bacterial small subunit ribosomal RNA", at positions 28 to 523 of the family's 1533-position model. The record is from RNAcentral.
GAUGAACGCUGACAGAAUGCUUAACACAUGCAAGUCUACUUGAUUCUACUUCGGUAGUUGAUGGUGGCGGACGGGUGAGUAACGCGUAAAGAAUCUGCCCUUUAGUUUGGGAUAACCUUUGGAAACGAAGGCUAAUACCGAAUAUUAUGGAGAUGUCGCAUGACGACUUCAUGAAAGCUAUAUGCGCUAGAGGAGGACUUUGCGUCCCAUUAGUUAGUUGGUGAGGUAAUGGCUCACCAAGACCGCGAUGGGUAGCCGGCCUGAGAGGGUGAUCGGCCACAAGGGAACUGAGACACGGUCCUUACUCCUACGGGAGGCAGCAGUGGGGAAUAUUGGACAAUGGGCGAAAGCCUGAUCCAGCCAUGCCGCGUGUGUGAAGAAGGUCUUCGGAUUGUAAAGCACUUUAAGUUGGGAGGAAGGGCAGUAAGCUAAUACCUUGCUGUUUUGACGUUACCAACAGAAUAAGCACCGGCUAACUUCGUGCCAGCCGCCGCCGUAA